RNAcentral lists this transfer RNA (69 nucleotides) under Chauliodus sloani (Sloane's viperfish). Its description in RNAcentral is "tRNA-Ala". It matches the Rfam family "tRNA". Rfam says of the family: Transfer RNA (tRNA) molecules are approximately 80 nucleotides in length. Their secondary structure includes four short double-helical elements and three loops (D, anti-codon, and T loops). The record is from RNAcentral. Lineage: Eukaryota; Metazoa; Chordata; Actinopteri; Stomiiformes; Stomiidae.
AGGGCCUUAGCUUAAUAAAAGUUUCUGGGUUGCAUUCAGAAGAUGUGGGAUAAAGUCCUGCAGGCCUUA